Molecule: long non-coding RNA, 248 nt
Filed under: Elaeis guineensis (African oil palm)
Lineage: Eukaryota; Viridiplantae; Streptophyta; Magnoliopsida; Arecales; Arecaceae
Description: long non-coding RNA (EGUI_LNC018525)
Source: RNAcentral
GAGAAGAUUCUGAAAGUGCUAGAAUGAUUAAAAGUCAACAUCCAGACCCUUAGCUCCCACACGCAAUCCAUUGCUAAGCUAGAGACCCAAAUAGGUCAACUAGCAACCGUAUUCAAUAGGAGGGAAGAAGAAAAAUUAUCAAGCCAAGCUGAGAGCAAUCCAAGAGGGCAAUUUAUGGUUGAGAGCUCCAAUACUCCAGAAACUUUUUCUGAACAUGCCAAAUCAAUCAUAACUCUCAAAAGUGGGAU